This 494-nucleotide ribosomal RNA is filed under the name uncultured bacterium. RNAcentral's name for it is "partial 16S ribosomal RNA". It matches the Rfam family "Bacterial small subunit ribosomal RNA", at positions 28 to 507 of the family's 1533-position model. The record is from RNAcentral.
GACGAACGCUGGCGGCGUGCUUAACACAUGCAAGUCGAACGGUGAAGCGCCUUCCUUUUUGGUGGGUGUGGAUGAGUGGCGAACGGGUGAGUAACACGUGAGUAACCUGCCCCCUUCUUCUGGAUAACCGCAUGAAAGUGUGGCUAAUACGGGAUAUUCUGGGUCUGUCGCAUGAUGGGUCUGGGAAAGAUAUUGUUUCGGUGGGGGAUGGGCUCGCGGCCUAUCAGCUUGUUGGUGGGGUGAUGGCCUACCAAGGCGGUGACGGGUAGCCGGCCUGAGAGGGUGGGCGGUCACACUGGGACUGAGACACGGCCCAGACUGCUACGAGAGGCAGCAGUGGGGAAUAUUGCACGAUGGGCGCAAGCCUGAUGCAGCGACGCCGCGUGAGGGAUGGAGGCCUUCGGGUUGUGAACCUCUUUCGCUAGUGAAGCAGGCCUGCCUCGUUUGUGGGUGGGUUGACGGUAGCUGGAUAAGAAGCGCCGGCUAACUACGUG